Molecule: ribosomal RNA, 497 nt
Filed under: uncultured bacterium
Lineage: Bacteria
Description: partial 16S ribosomal RNA
Rfam family: Bacterial small subunit ribosomal RNA
Source: RNAcentral
GACGAACGCUGGCGGCGUGCCUAAUACAUGCAAGUUGAGCGCUGAAGGCUGGUACUUGUACCAACUGGAUGAGCAGCGAACGGGUGAGUAACGCGUGGGGAAUCUGCCUUUGAGCGGGGGACAACAUUUGGAAACGAAUGCUAAUACCGCAUAAAAACUUUAAACACAAGUUUUAAGUUUGAAAGAUGCAAUUGCAUCACUCAAAGAUGAUCCCGCGUUGUAUUAGCUAGUUGGUGAGGUAAAGGCUCACCAAGGCGAUGAUACAUAGCCGACCUGAGAGGGUGAUCGGCCACAUUGGGACUGAGACACGGCCCAAACUCCUACGGGAGGCAGCAGUAGGGAAUCUUCGGCAAUGGACGAAAGUCUGACCGAGCAACGCCGCGUGAGUGAAGAAGGUUUUCGGAUCGUAAAACUCUGUUGGUAGAGAAGAACGUUGGUGAGAGUGGAAAGCUCAUCAAGUGACGGUAACUACCCAGAAAGGGACGGCUAACUACGUG